AUGCCGCCUCCCCUGCGCCACCUGCUGCCGCUGCUCCUCGCGGCGGCCGCGGCCUCCACGGCCGCCGCGUUCGUGCUGGAGGAGGCCACGGUCGAGUCCAUCCACCGCGCCUUCGCCACCGGCGAGCUCACCUCCCGCGGCCUCGUCGAGCUCUAUGUGCGCCGCAUCGCGUCCCUCGACCCGGCCCUCCACGCCGUCGUCGAGAUCGAUGCCGAUGGCGCGCUCGCCGCAGCCGACCGCGCCGAUGCCGCCCGCCUCGAGCUCGAGGGCGCGGCGCUCCCGCCUCUCCACGGCAUCCCCGUGCUGAUCAAGGACAACAUCGCGGCGGCCGGCGACGGAUCCGGGAGGCUGAACGCGACGGCCGGGUCGCUCGCGCUGGUCGGGUCCCGCCCCGCCCGCGACGCCGGCGUGGUCGAGAGGCUCCGGUGCGCCGGCGCGGUCGUCCUCGGCACCGCCAGCCUCAGCGAGUGGUGCAACUUCCGCGGCCCCCGCAUCCCCGCCGGCUGGAGCCCCCGCGCCGGCCAGGGCAUUAAUCCGUAUGUGCCGUCAGCGACGCCGUGCGCGUCCAGCAGCGGCUCCGCCAUUGCCGCGGCGGCGAACAUGGUGGCGGUGACGAUUGGGACGGAGACGGACGGCUCCAUCAUGUGCCCGUCCAGCUUCAACUCCGUUGUCGGAAUCAAGCCGACGGUCGGCCUCACAAGCCGCGCCGGCGUGAUCAUCAUAUCUCCAAGGAUGGACACAAUCGGGCCAAUAUGUAGGACAGUUUCAGAUGCAGUGCAUGUGUUGGAGGCAAUGGUAGGCUAUGAUCCACGGGAUGCGGAGGCAACUCGCACGGCAUCUCGGUAUAUCCCGAAAGGCGGUUAUGGGCAAUUCUUGAACAUAGAUGGUCUAAGGGGCAAGAGGGUUGGGAUUCUCAGGAAGGACUUCUUCCGGUUCGCCCCAGGCUCCAUCCAAGAAAAGGUGUUCAGAGACCACUUUAACACUAUGAGGCAACUGGGGGCCAUCUUGGUGGACAAUCUUGAGAUACCAACCAUGAAAGUCAUCAAUGAUGCGGUACAAAGCGGCGAACGUGCUCUUAUGCUCGCCGAGUUCAAGCUGUCCCUCAACUCUUACUUGUCUGAACUGGCUACCUCACCUGUUAGAUCAUUAUCAGACAUAAUUGACUUCAACAACAAGAACCCUGUCGAGGAAAGGAUGGCUGAAUUUGGCCAGAGUUACCUUCUGCAGUCUGAAGCAACAAAUGGCAUUGGUCCUGCUGAGGAGCGUGCCAUUGCCAAACUGAACAAACUGUGUGAGGAAGGCCUUGAGAAGAUAAUGCGAGCCAAUCAACUGGACGCGAUCGUCGCACCCGGCGCGUCUGCUCAUAGCCUGCUUGCCAUCGGCGGCUAUCCAGCAAUAACCGUCCCAGCUGGAUAUGCUUCAAACGGCGUUCCUUUUGCGAUUUGCUUUGGGGGGUUGAAAGGAUCAGAGCCGAUGCUUAUUGAGAUUGCUUAUUCCUUUGAGCAGGCAACGAAAGUUAGGAAACCUCCAAUAUUGCAGCAUUCUGUCAUUUGA
RNAcentral lists this ribosomal RNA (1554 nucleotides) under Triticum aestivum (bread wheat). RNAcentral describes it as "partial small subunit ribosomal RNA". The record is from RNAcentral. Lineage: Eukaryota; Viridiplantae; Streptophyta; Magnoliopsida; Poales; Poaceae.